UGCCACAAAGAGGAACGCGGCGCGGGGACCCAAAGGGACAAUGACACUCUGCAAGGAGGGAGCGACGGGCCUCGGGACACCGCGCCGCUGACCCCCAGGCGGACCUGACCGGGGCCUCCGGGAGGCGCCGCCCGCAGCCUGCAGGACGCCCCAGAGGAACCAGCACGUUCGGUUUCUCUUUGUGGAGACUUUUUCCAGUAAACGAAAAUCAAAGACAGCGACAGACUUGGGGCUGGGGACACCUGAGUGGGAGCCGAGGAGGAGGCUGGCUGUGCUGUCACCGGCUGGAGCUGCGAGCGCCAUGGGGGCCCUGUGGCUCCUGAUGUUCCUGACCCCCGCCUCCUGCCUGCUGGACACCACCCAGGGUCCAGAGCCGCCCAUCAGGAACCUGAGGAUGGACGCGGCCCGGAGCCACCUCACCUGGGACGUCAGCGCACCUUCUUCCACUAUUUACUGCGUCACCGACUCCGACCACAUCCAAGAGGUCAGCACGUGCCCGCACCCACACGU
This 510-nucleotide long non-coding RNA is filed under the name Marmota marmota marmota (Alpine marmot). RNAcentral describes it as "lncRNA (ENSMMMG00000004399.1)". The record is from RNAcentral. Lineage: Eukaryota; Metazoa; Chordata; Mammalia; Rodentia; Sciuridae.